RNAcentral lists this ribosomal RNA (253 nucleotides) under uncultured bacterium. RNAcentral's name for it is "partial 16S ribosomal RNA". It matches the Rfam family "Bacterial small subunit ribosomal RNA", at positions 524 to 776 of the family's 1533-position model. The record is from RNAcentral.
UACAGAGGGUGCGAGCGUUAAUCGGAAUUACUGGGCGUAAAGCGCACGUAGGCGGGUCGCUAAGUCGGGGGUGAAAUCCUGGGGCUCAACCUCAGAACUGCCUUCGAUACUGGCGACCUUGAGUACGGGAGAGGUGAGUGGAAUUCCCAGUGUAGAGGUGAAAUUCGUAGAUAUUGGGAAGAACACCAGUGGCGAAGGCGGCUCACUGGCCCGUAACUGACGCUGAGGUGCGAAAGCGUGGGGAGCAAACAGG